AGAAGCUUGCUACUUUGCUGACGAGUGGCGGACGGGUGAGUAAUGUCUGGGGAUCUGCCUGAUGGAGGGGGAUAACUACUGGAAACGGUAGCUAAUACCGCAUAAUGUCGCAAGACCAAAGCGGGGGACUUUCGGGCCUCGCACCAUCAGAUGAACCCAGAUGGGAUUAGCUAGUAGGUAGGGUAAUGGCUUACCUAGGCGACGAUCCCUAGCUGGUCUGAGAGGAUGACCAGCCACACUGGAACUGAGACACGGUCCAGACUCCUACGGGAGGCAGCAGUGGGGAAUAUUGCACAAUGGGCGCAAGCCUGAUGCAGCCAUG
RNAcentral lists this ribosomal RNA (322 nucleotides) under Rosenbergiella sp. RNAcentral's name for it is "bacterial SSU rRNA". It matches the Rfam family "Bacterial small subunit ribosomal RNA", at positions 74 to 396 of the family's 1533-position model. Lineage: Bacteria; Pseudomonadati; Pseudomonadota; Gammaproteobacteria; Enterobacterales; Erwiniaceae. The record is from RNAcentral.